RNAcentral lists this ribosomal RNA (644 nucleotides) under Verrucaria aethiobola. RNAcentral's name for it is "eukaryotic LSU rRNA". It matches the Rfam family "Eukaryotic large subunit ribosomal RNA", at positions 162 to 822 of the family's 3401-position model. Lineage: Eukaryota; Fungi; Ascomycota; Eurotiomycetes; Verrucariales; Verrucariaceae. The record is from RNAcentral.
GCUUCGGGCAGGCCGUGGUCUAAUUCGCUUGGAACAGCGAGUCACAGAGGGUGAGAAUCCCGUCUAGGAUCGUGGCCGCGUCCAUGUGAAGCUCCUUCGACGAGUCGAGUUGUUUGGGAAUGCAGCUCUAAAUGGGUGGUAAAUUUCAUCUAAAGCUAAAUAUGGGCCAGAGACCGAUAGCGCACAAGUAGAGUGAUCGAAAGAUGAAAAGCACUUUGAAAAGAGAGUUAAACAGUAUGUGAAAUUGUUGAAAGGGAAGCGCUUGCAACCAGACUUGUGACUGACGGUUCCCCCGGCCUUCUGGGCCGGGCUACUCCGUCACGUCCAGGCCAACAUCGGUUUGGGUGGUCGGUGAAAGACCUCGGGAAUGUAUCUACCUCCGGGUCGACUUAUAGCCCGGGGUGCAAUGCGGCCCACCCGGACCGAGGAACGCGCUUCGGCUCGGAUGUUGGCGUAAUGGUUGUAAGCGGCCCGUCUUGAAACACGGACCAAGGAGUCUAACAUCUAUGCGAGUGUUUGGGUGUCAAACCCCUACGCGGAAUGAAAGUGAACGGUGGUAAGAACCCCGUCAGGGGCGCAUUAUCGACCGAUCCUGAUGUCUUCGGAUGGAUUUGAGUAAGAGCAUAGCUGUUGGGACCCGAAAG